UACCAGACUCCUACGGGAGGCAGCAGUGAGGGAUAUUGGGCAAUGGGGGAAACCCUGACCCAGCGACGCCGCGUGAGGGAAGACGGUCUUCGGAUUGUAAACCUCUGUCUUUGGGGACGAAAAAGGACGGUACCCAAGGAGGAAGCACCGGCUAACUCCGUGCCAGCAGCCGCGGUAAUACGGAGGGUGCGAGCGUUAAUCGGAAUUACUAGGCGUAAAGCGCUCGUAGGCGGUAUGUCAAGUCAAGGGUGAAAUCCCCGCACUCAACGUGGGAACUGCCUUUGAAACUGGCAAACUGGAGUGUGUGAGAGGAUAGUGGAAUUCCAGGUGUAGGAGUGAAAUCCGUAGAUAUCUGGAGGAACAUCAGUGGCGAAGGCGACUAUCUGGCACAUAACUGACGCUGAGGAGCGAAAGCGUGGGUAGCAAACAGGAUUAGAUACCCCAGUACUA
Molecule: ribosomal RNA, 450 nt
Filed under: uncultured bacterium
Lineage: Bacteria
Description: bacterial SSU rRNA
Rfam family: Bacterial small subunit ribosomal RNA
Source: RNAcentral